AGUUUUAAAAAAUUUACGUGAAUUUGAAAUUCGACCUUUGAUAAAUGGGCCUCUUAGCUUUAUGGGAAGUGUUCACAAAUAAAAUCAUAAAUGCAUUGUAUUCACAAAUAUUUUUCUUACAUUAUACUUCUUACUUAUAUUUAUUCUUCUUAUAAUUUCAGUUAAUUUAAGCCUUGCCACGAUGGGUGAAAAGAGUAACAGCCCUGCCGGAAUAACCGAAUACAUGGCAAUUGUUCUUCAAGUUCUUGCCUGUAAUUACAAGAACGGGGCUGAAUAUGACAAUAAGCAUUGAGACGUUGAAGAGCCAGAACUACCACCAAGGCGUUAAAGGACCAGUAACAUCAAAAUUAUUUU
Long non-coding RNA from Xenopus laevis (African clawed frog), 354 nucleotides. RefSeq lists it as uncharacterized. The record is from RefSeq and is a predicted model, not a curated record. The transcript is spliced from 2 exons. Lineage: Eukaryota; Metazoa; Chordata; Amphibia; Anura; Pipidae.